UAACAAGGUUUCCGUAGGUGAACCUGCGGAAGGAUCAUUGUCGAAACCUGCAAAGCAGACCGCGAACACGUCGAACAACUCCGAAACCCCGCCGGCGCUCGCACGAGUGCGCAGCGCCGCGCGGGCUAACGAACCCCGGCGCGGAAAGCGCCAAGGAAAACUGAAAGUAGCGCCGCCGCCCGGCACCCCGUUCGCGGGCAGUGCCGUGCGGGCGUGCGUCUAUCGAAUGUCAAAACGACUCUCGGCAACGGAUAUCUCGGCUCUCGCAUCGAUGAAGAACGUAGCGAAAUGCGAUACUUGGUGUGAAUUGCAGAAUCCCGUGAACCAUCGAGUCUUUGAACGCAAGUUGCGCCCGAAGCCGUCAGGCCGAGGGCACGUCUGCCUGGGCGUCACGCAUCGCGUCGCCCCCUCCCUCGGGACGGGGGGCGGAGAUUGGCCUCCCGUGCGCCCCGGCGCGCGGCCGGCCCAAAUGCGAUCCCCCGGCGACCCGUGUCGCGGCAAGUGGUGGUUGAACGUCUCAAUCUCGUUUCUCGCCGCGGCCCCGGAUCGUCCGUGCGGGCAUCGACACGCAAAAGACCCAAACGGCGAAUGCCUUCGACCGCGACCCCAGGUCAGGCGGGACCACCCGCUGAGUUUAAGCAUA
RNAcentral lists this ribosomal RNA (643 nucleotides) under Equilabium molle. Its description in RNAcentral is "eukaryotic LSU rRNA". The stretch from base 237 to 392 matches the Rfam family "5.8S ribosomal RNA". The record is from RNAcentral. Lineage: Eukaryota; Viridiplantae; Streptophyta; Magnoliopsida; Lamiales; Lamiaceae.